This is a long non-coding RNA of Mus musculus (house mouse), 1147 nucleotides long. RefSeq annotates it as predicted gene, 40778. The record is from RefSeq and is a predicted model, not a curated record. The transcript is spliced from 3 exons. Lineage: Eukaryota; Metazoa; Chordata; Mammalia; Rodentia; Muridae.
GAAACCCCAGGUUGGGAUGAAAUAUUUCUACAACAGACCACAAAUAACAAACAUACUAAAUAGAUGUGUUUGAAUAAAAGGAACCGUAAGUGAGUACUACCUGACAACCUGAGUAUUCCAUGAGAGAAAGGCAAAGGAGAGUCAGGUCAAAAUCAGGCAAUGUUAACAGGUGACACUACCACUUAAAUCCCAGGAUCACAACAAACCUGGCCAUGAAGGUAACAACAAAGUCUCAGAUCUUUGCAACAAGGUUCUGAUUUGAUAACAGAAUAGCAACAAGCAGAAUAAACUGUGCAUUCACGAUGCUCACCGGUGGGAUACCCAGGGUGUAUAGAGCCCAGCCAGGCUGAGAAGAGCUCUGGAAAACAAGCCUCUGCUAGACUUCCUCCUGUCCUCCCCCUUACUGCUGUAUUGCAAAGCAAGAAGUAUACAGGGAAAGGAGACCAGGCAUCACAGCGGUUCUUUGUUUUGUUUUGCUGUUGCUAGGAAUGAAGGCACUUAGCGUGAAGUGGUAUGGCAAUGGCAGCUUGGACGCUGGGGUAGCAAAUUCUCAGAGACCGAGUUAGAUGGUUUUAGCCCCUGCAAAAAGCUUGUCCGGAGGGGAAGGAUUUAUUUUGGCGAGAGGUCUCACGGGAACUCUAGUUAUUUGGUUCCACGUACUUCAUUAUCAUGGUGAAGAAGACGAAUGUCAGAAGCUGUUUCACAGCAUGGUGGACCUGAAGCACAGAGAAUAGACAGGAAGGAGCAAGGAUACGGAGCUGUAGGGGAUGUUCCUGGAGGCUUGCUUCUUCCAGGUGACGGGGAGAUUACACUUUGGUGCAAUCUUUGAAGUCGGAGUGUGAAGAGACUGUGUCUGCUUUGCAUCAUCUCUGUCACACAGCUUCCAUGGCUGUGUUAAGUAGGAGCCAUGCUGUGGGCUGAGCUCACACAGCUUCCAGUUCCGAUGAUGGCGUCCGCUCAGCAUCUUUGCAGUAAUAUUUACAGCGAAUGGUCAGCAAAUGGUUUCUACUGUUUGGUAUUUCUACAAUCACCUUGAAGAUACCUUGAGUUUCCUUACUACCUGCGUCUUUAAGCCCAGGAGUCAUUUCUCCUGACUGGCAAUAUAACCCCACCUAUCUUCAGUUAGUGAUCACAAAUUCAGACUGUU